UACGUAGGGUGCGAGCGUUGUCCGGAAUUACUGGGCGUAAAGAGCUCGUAGGUGGUUUGUCGCGUUGUCCGUGAAAACUCACAACUCAAUUGUGGGCGUGCGGGCGAUACGGGCAGACUGGAGUACUGCAGGGGAGACUGGAAUUCCUGGUGUAGCGGUGGAAUGCGCAGAUAUCAGGAGGAACACCGGUGGCGAAGGCGGGUCUCUGGGGGAUUCCUGACGCUGAGGCGCGAAAGCUAGGGGAGCGAACGGG
RNAcentral lists this ribosomal RNA (253 nucleotides) under uncultured bacterium. Its description in RNAcentral is "partial 16S ribosomal RNA". It matches the Rfam family "Bacterial small subunit ribosomal RNA", at positions 524 to 776 of the family's 1533-position model. The record is from RNAcentral.